AAUUCAUUGCAGACCUCACUUACAUGGAGCGGAAGGGGCCAGACUGAGACAGUGGGAAAAUACAUUGAAGAAGUCCUCAUUAUGUACGGGAGGAAGAAAAACAAUGGACAAGGAAACAGAAAUUGAAUCUACUACUGUGAAAUGAAGCCCUGCAGAAUGACUCUGUCAGUCAUGUGUAGCAAGGAAGGGAAACACAACCUAACUGCUCCAUGGAAACAGAGGCACGUGUGUAUGAUUCAAAAUGCAAUUUGCAUCUGCUCUUCAGACUGUAAGGUGGGCCACGCUAAUUGCUGUCACCUCAGCCCCUCCACAGCAGGAAGCAGGUUUAUGAACAUACCCUGUGUUUCACAUCAUACUCUUCUGGAUGAAGUCAGUCACAGAUCAAAGGUAACCUCUAACUC
Molecule: long non-coding RNA, 401 nt
Organism: Lepidothrix coronata (blue-crowned manakin)
Lineage: Eukaryota; Metazoa; Chordata; Aves; Passeriformes; Pipridae
Exons: 3
Source: RefSeq, a predicted model, not a curated record